GUGAAUGCCGGUCGCGCUCCGCGCCCUGCUCCGCCCCUCGCGGGCGUCGAGCGGUGCGGGCGCGGUCCGUGCGCGUCCCACUUAUCAAACCACUUGUGCACCUGUCCGGGGGUGAAACCCCGUAUACACAAACAACUGAAACGAAAUGAACCUUUUGGGGGCGACAUGCCUCUUAAACAUGUAACAACUUUCAACAACGGAUCUCUUGGCUCU
This 213-nucleotide unclassified non-coding RNA is filed under the name rhizosphere metagenome. RNAcentral describes it as "partial ribosomal RNA internal transcribed spacer region". The record is from RNAcentral.